This 485-nucleotide long non-coding RNA is filed under the name Mytilus galloprovincialis (Mediterranean mussel). Lineage: Eukaryota; Metazoa; Mollusca; Bivalvia; Mytilida; Mytilidae. The record is from RNAcentral.
UAAUAAGCAGUGGCGUAGCUUGCAUGUAUGCUCAGAUGCUCAAGCAUCCACAUCAUUUUGACAAAAAAAAAAAAAAAAAUAGCAGCAGUACAACUCAGAAGUAUCCAAAUGUAACAAGGCUGAGGAUAUGAGGAUAACGUCCAGUCAUUGUCGAAGCAGUAUGCCUGGUCUUUCAUUCAGGAUAAUUAAGUUUAUGUAAACCGCAAAAUAGUGUUUCAAGUUAACUUUUGUUCGUAAAAAAAGUCUACGUUAUCGGCUAAUUAAGGCAAGCGGAGAGGAUGAUGAAAUGCAUACCCGUGGACAUGUUUCCUAGAUGAAAUUGAACUUAGUGGAGUGAUGGCUUCUCAUUUGACUAUAGCAACUAACAACUAGAACACCAUAUCCUGAUAUCGUUUCUUGUGACGUGGUAAAAGACAUGAUAAAAAAAUCAACUUGUAAUAUAUCGUGAUAAUUCAUAGGCUUAUGGAUUCCCGUUUCUAUCUAGG